GUAAAUAGUUUAAAAAAACAAUUAAUCUGCAAUUAAAAAUUACUAUAAAAGUUUUAUCUA
RNAcentral lists this transfer RNA (60 nucleotides) under Pentapycnon charcoti. RNAcentral's name for it is "tRNA-Ala". Lineage: Eukaryota; Metazoa; Arthropoda; Pycnogonida; Pantopoda; Pycnogonidae. The record is from RNAcentral.